This 157-nucleotide small RNA is filed under the name Erwinia tracheiphila. Its description in RNAcentral is "STAXI RNA". It matches the Rfam family "STAXI RNA". The record is from Rfam by way of RNAcentral. Lineage: Bacteria; Pseudomonadati; Pseudomonadota; Gammaproteobacteria; Enterobacterales; Erwiniaceae.
UGUUGUCUUCGGACAACCAGCCAAUGCUUCAGCACUCUGUGAGAAGCACCUUCGGGUGACUGCCAAUAGCCUCGUAGCCUGAAAGAGGAAGCCCAUGUGGCGGUAACUCCGUUUAGCCUUUGAGAACGGAGAUCACUUAGCGGUGAUGAAGGUCCAU